RNAcentral lists this ribosomal RNA (466 nucleotides) under Vreelandella stevensii. RNAcentral's name for it is "partial 16S ribosomal RNA". It matches the Rfam family "Bacterial small subunit ribosomal RNA", at positions 338 to 795 of the family's 1533-position model. The record is from RNAcentral. Lineage: Bacteria; Pseudomonadati; Pseudomonadota; Gammaproteobacteria; Oceanospirillales; Halomonadaceae.
CCUACGGUGUGCUGCAGUGGGGAAUAUUGGACAAUGGGCGAAAGCCUGAUCCAGCCAUGCCGCGUGUGUGAAGAAGGCCUUCGGGUUGUAAAGCACUUUCAGUGGGGAAGAAAGCCUUGGGGCUAAUACCCUCGAGGAAGGACAUCACCCACAGAAGAAGCACCGGCUACACUCCGUGCCAGCAGCCGCGGUAAUACGGAGGGUGCGAGCGUUAAUCGGAAUUACUGGGCGUAAAGCGCGCGUAGGCGGUCUGAUAAGCCGGUUGUGAAAGCCCCGGGCUCAACCUGGGAACGGCAUCCGGAACUGUCAGGCUAGAGUGCAGGAGAGGAAGGUAGAAUUCCCGGUGUAGCGGUGAAAUGCGUAGAGAUCGGGAGGAAUACCAGUGGCGAAGGCGGCCUUCUGGACUGACACUGACGCUGAGGUGCGAAAGCGUGGGUAGCAAACAGGAUUAGAUACCCUAGUAGUC